AACACCUCAACUCCCCUUUCUUUUUUGAAAUGGGAGCUGGACUUGAGUGAUCCCGACGUUUUUCUCACCGAAAAGUGGCGGGUUACUUGAAAUGCAGGUGCAGCUGGACUUUUCUCUGAGCUAAAAGCAUAUCUAUUUAGUCUGCCUAAAAACAGAUUAUUACCUUUGCUGCAGCUAACAUAAAGGAGGUUGGUUCUUGUGCUGACUGAUGCAGGAUUCACAGAGACAGCUUCGGCUGGCUUUGUAA
RNAcentral lists this unclassified non-coding RNA (247 nucleotides) under uncultured Mortierella. RNAcentral describes it as "sequence contains ITS2". Lineage: Eukaryota; Fungi; Mortierellomycota; Mortierellomycetes; Mortierellales; Mortierellaceae. The record is from RNAcentral.